GACGUAGGAUGCAAGCGUUGUCCGGAAUUAUUGGGCGUAAAGAGUUCGUAGGCGGCAUAUCAAGUCUGGUGUUAAAACCCGGGGCUCAACUCCGGAUCGGCAUUGGAUACUGAUAAGCUAGAGUACAGAAGAGGCAAGGGGAAUUCCCAGUGUAGCGGUGAAAUGCGUAGAUAUUGGGAGGAACACCAGUGGCGUAAGCGCCUUGCUGGGCUGAAACUGACGCUGAGGAACGAAAGCCAGGGGAGCGAAUGGG
RNAcentral lists this ribosomal RNA (253 nucleotides) under uncultured bacterium. RNAcentral's name for it is "partial 16S ribosomal RNA". It matches the Rfam family "Bacterial small subunit ribosomal RNA", at positions 524 to 776 of the family's 1533-position model. The record is from RNAcentral.